AACGAAUUUGAUUUUAGGGUAAGCGGUUGCUGAACAAACUGUAAAAUUGCCGGUGUCGGCAUACAAAAGGCUCCAUCGCACGGUGGCGAAGGAGAGCGGGUUCAAACCCCCUGGAGCCGGUUUAGAUGCACCUCGAGAUGUGAAUCACGAGGGAAGGGCCGAGAGUCAAACCAAUGACUUUUCGAGGCCGUGUAAAGGUUUGCACACAGGACGUUAAAUGGGUUUAGCGGAGCAU
This 235-nucleotide unclassified non-coding RNA is filed under the name uncultured archaeon. RNAcentral describes it as "16S-23S ribosomal RNA intergenic spacer". The record is from RNAcentral.